Molecule: ribosomal RNA, 116 nt
Filed under: Monopterus albus (swamp eel)
Lineage: Eukaryota; Metazoa; Chordata; Actinopteri; Synbranchiformes; Synbranchidae
Source: RNAcentral
CAGGGCAGCCGCAUCACCCUGGUCAUGCCCGAUCUUGGUGGAUCGCUGCAGCUGAGCAGGGCCAGGUCUGAAUAGUACUUGGGUGGGGAACCACCUGAGAAUACCAGGUGUUGUGA